UCGGGAUAACCACCUGGAAACAGAUGCUAAUACCGGAUAACAACAGAUGAUGCCUAUCAACUGUUUAAAAGAUGGUUCUGCUAUCACUCUUGGAUGGACCUGCGGUGCAUUAGCUAGUUGGUAGGGUAACGGCCUACCAAGGCGAUGAUGCAUAGCCGAGUUGAGAGACUGAUCGGCCACAUUGGGACUGAGACACGGCCCAAACUCCUACGGGAGGCAGCAGCU
Molecule: ribosomal RNA, 225 nt
Filed under: uncultured Lactobacillus sp.
Lineage: Bacteria; Bacillati; Bacillota; Bacilli; Lactobacillales; Lactobacillaceae
Description: partial 16S ribosomal RNA
Rfam family: Bacterial small subunit ribosomal RNA
Source: RNAcentral